GUCUACGGCCAUACCACCCUGAACGCGCCCGAUCUCGUCUGAUCUCGGAAGCUGAGUAGGGUCGGGCCUGGUUAGUACUUGGAUGGGAGAAAGGUUAGGUCUGCGAAAUGUGCAAUCCUAUUGCAGCAGGAA
This 132-nucleotide ribosomal RNA is filed under the name Microcebus murinus (gray mouse lemur). Lineage: Eukaryota; Metazoa; Chordata; Mammalia; Primates; Cheirogaleidae. The record is from RNAcentral.